This 265-nucleotide ribosomal RNA is filed under the name uncultured prokaryote. RNAcentral's name for it is "partial 16S ribosomal RNA". It matches the Rfam family "Bacterial small subunit ribosomal RNA", at positions 524 to 788 of the family's 1533-position model. The record is from RNAcentral.
UACGUAGGGGGCAAGCGUUAUCCGGAUUUACUGGGUGUAAAGGGAGCGCAGACGGAACUGCAAGUCUGAUGUGAAAGCCCGGGGCUCAACCGCGGGACUGCAUCGGAUACUGUGGAUCUGGAGUGCCGGAGGGGCAAGUGGAAUUCCUGGUGUAGCGGUGAAAUGCGUAGAUAUCAGGAGGAACACCGGCGGCGAAGGCGGCUUGCUGGACGGCAACUGACGUUGAGGCUCGAAAGCGUGGGGAGCAAACAGGAUUAGAUACCCU